Molecule: ribosomal RNA, 1305 nt
Filed under: Streptomyces nogalater
Lineage: Bacteria; Bacillati; Actinomycetota; Actinomycetes; Kitasatosporales; Streptomycetaceae
Description: bacterial SSU rRNA
Rfam family: Bacterial small subunit ribosomal RNA
Source: RNAcentral
UGCAGUCGACGAUGAACCAUUCGGUGGAUUAGUGGCGAACGGUGAGUAAACGGCUGGCAAUCUGCCCUGCCUCUGGGACAAGCCCUGGAAACGGGCUAAUACCGGAUACGAGCCGGGACCGCAUGUCUGGUUGGAAAGCUCCGGCGGUGCAGGAUGACCGCGGCCUACAGCUUGUUGGUGAGUAACGGCUCACCAAGGCGACGACGGGUAGCCGGCCUGAGAGGCCCGGCCACACUGGGACUGAGACACGCCCCAGACUCUACGGAGCAGCAGUGGGGAAUAUGCACAAUGGCGCAAGCCUGAUGCAGCGACCCCCCGUGAGGAUGACGGCCUUCGGUGUAAACCUCUUCAGCAGGGAAGAAGGCAAGUGACGGUACCUGCAGAAAGCGCCGGCUAACUACGUGCCAGCAGCCGCGGUAAUACGUAGGGCGCAAGCGUUGUCCGGAAUAUUGGGCGUAAGAGCUCGUAGGCGGCUGUCCGGUCGGUUGUGAAGCCCGGGCUUAACCCGGUCUGCAGUCGAUACGGCAGGCUAGAGUUCGGUAGGGGAGAUCGGAAUUCCUGGUGUAGCGGGUGAAAUGCGCAGAUAUCAGGGGAACACCGGUGGCGAAAGCGGAUCUCUGGGCCGAUACUGACGCUGAGGAGCGAAAGCGUGGAGCGAACAGGAUUAGAUACCUGGUAGUCACGCCGUAAACGGUGGGCACUAGGUGUGGGCAACAUUCCACGUUGUCCGUGCGCAGCUAACGCAUUAAGUGCCCCGCCUGGGAGUACGGCGCAAGGCUAAUACUCAAAGGAAUUGACGGGGCCCGCACAAGCGGCGGACAUGUGGCUUAUUUCGACGCAACGCGAAGAACCUUACCAAGGCUUGACAUACACCGGAAAACCCUGGAGACAGGGUCCCCCUUGUGGUCGGUGUACAGGUGGUGCAUGGCUGUCGUCACCUCGUGUCGUGAGAUGUUGGGUUAAGUCCCAACGAGCGCAACCCUUGUCCCGUGUUGCCAGCAGGCCCUUGUGUGCUGGGGAUCACCGAGACCCCGGGGUCAACUCGGAGGAAGGUGGGGACGACGUCAAGUCAUCAUGCCCUUAUGUCUUGGGCUGCAACGUGCUACAAUGGCCGGUACAAUGAGCUGCGAUACCGUGAGGUGGAGCGAACUCAAAAAGCCGGUCUCAGUUCGGAUGGGGUCUGCAACUCGACCCCAUGAAGUCGGAGUCGCUAGUUAUCGCAGAUCAGCAUUGCGCGGUGAAUACGUUCCCGGGCCUUGUACACACCGCCGUCACGUCACGAAAGUCGGUAACACCCAACCGGUG